AACGAACGCUGGCGGCAGGCCUAACACAUGCAAGUCGAACGCUGUAGCAAUACAGAGUGGCAGACGGGUGAGUAACGCGUGGGAACGUGCCUUUCGGUUCGGAAUAACUCAGGGAAACUUGAGCUAAUACCGGAUACGCCCUUCGGGGGAAAGAUUUAUUGCCGAAAGAUCGGCCCGCGUCCGAUUAGCUAGUUGGUGUGGUAAUGGCGCACCAAGGCGACGAUCGGUCGCUGGUCUGAGAGGAUGAUCAGCCACACUGGGACUGAGACACGGCCCAGACUCCUACGGGAGGCAGCAGUGGGGAGUAUUGGACAAUGGGCGCAAGCCUGAUCCAGCCAUGCCGCGUGAGUGAUGAAGGCCCUAGGGUUGUAAAGCUCUUUCGCCAGGGACGAUAAUGACGGUACCUGGAUAAGAAGCCCCGGCUAACUUCGUGCCAGCCGCCGCCGUAA
RNAcentral lists this ribosomal RNA (449 nucleotides) under uncultured bacterium. RNAcentral describes it as "partial 16S ribosomal RNA". It matches the Rfam family "Bacterial small subunit ribosomal RNA", at positions 29 to 523 of the family's 1533-position model. The record is from RNAcentral.